AGAGCGAACGCUGGCGGCAGGCCUAACACAUGCAAGUCGAGCGCCCGUAGCAAUACGGGAGCGGCAGACGGGAUAGUAACACGUGGGAACGCGCCCUUCGGUUCGGAAUAACUCAGGGAAACUUGAGCUAAUACCGGAUACGCCCUUACGGGGAAAGAUUUAUUGCCGAAGGAACGGCCCGCGUCUGAUUAGCUAGUUGGUGAGGUAAUGGCUCACCAAGGCGACGAUCGGUAGCUGGUCUGAGAGGAUGACCAGCAUCACUGGGACUGAGACACGGCCCAGACUCCUACGGGAGGCAGCAGUGGGGAAUAUUGGACAAUGGGCGCAAGCCUGAUCCAGCCAUGCCGCGUGGAUGAUGAAGGCCCUAGGGUUGUAAAGUCCUUUCGACGGGGAAGAUAAUGACGGUACCGUAGAAGAGCCCGGCUAACUGUCGCCAGCAGCCGC
This 444-nucleotide ribosomal RNA is filed under the name uncultured bacterium. Its description in RNAcentral is "SSU rRNA". It matches the Rfam family "Bacterial small subunit ribosomal RNA", at positions 26 to 518 of the family's 1533-position model. The record is from RNAcentral.